Molecule: small nuclear RNA, 103 nt
Organism: Choloepus didactylus (southern two-toed sloth)
Lineage: Eukaryota; Metazoa; Chordata; Mammalia; Pilosa; Megalonychidae
Source: RefSeq, a predicted model, not a curated record
UUGCUUCGGCAGCACAUAUACUAAGAUUGGAGCAAAUCAGAGACAUUUAGCAUGACCCCUGUGCAAGGAUGACUUGCAAAUUUGUGAAAUGUUCCAUAUUAAA